Schistosoma rodhaini is the source of this 45-nucleotide non-coding RNA. The record is from Rfam. NCBI's taxonomy places the organism in Eukaryota, Metazoa, Platyhelminthes, Trematoda, Strigeidida, Schistosomatidae.
AUCCAGCUGAUGAGUCCCAAAUGGGACGAAGUGCGCGUCCUGGAU